UUGUAAUUGCAGGGUGAACUUUCUGAAAUGGGCAAGUAGCCAACGCCAAGCCGACUAUGGGUCUACGUGUGUAAAUUGACCGCUAAAUCAGCUGAGUAGGCUACAACUAUAGAACGACAUGAACCAAUCUGCUUCUACCUGUGGAAAGGUACAGUUUAAGGUUAAUGUUUAACAUUCCGCUCCAACAAACUGCGUAAGACCGACCUCUAGUGGAAAACAAUGACAUCUCUAGGCUCCCUUGCAUCUCGUUUGAUGAGAAUAUUUUGGGAAAUCCUACCGGUGGUCCCAAAAUGGAAAACACAGUGGAAAGGAAACUGAAUGCUGAUGCAGUCAUCUUCUAAUCACUGCUUGACUGGACACCAGCUAAAAAUGCUCCGGGAAGUUGAAGGGGAUUGGGAGAAGCGAACACAGAGCUGAUCAGAAUGGCCUCUGGAACUGAUGCACUUCUCUGACUCAAUUCCUGUGACUGUUGAGCCUACUGCUGUAAUUAGUGCACUGGUCUGGACUUUAGUCCUAGUUUGAGAACUCUUUGAAAUACUUAGUCUUAUAAGUUACAAUCAUAUAUAAUAUAAUAAAAUAUAAUAAGUAUUCAGCGGAUACUGUAGGAUUUCCUUCAUUGUCUGAAAUUGUGCAGAGUUUUUGUACACCUAGUGAAUUCAGGACAUUGAGGCUUAAUAUAAUCGUUUCAAAACAUGUAAUGUUUAAGGGUGUCAAUAGUGUUCUGAAAAGGGUUAAACAUACAAAAAUAUGAAAAACAUUUGUCAUUACAGUAUAUGAGUGGAAAGUUCAGUCAGUGUUUUUAUAUAGUUUUCAAAGAAUCAUGGCACAAAAAGUAAUAUCGAACUGAGGUCAUGACAACAAAAAAGAGGGACCCACGUUAUUUUCCUUGUCCUCUACUCUUG
This is a long non-coding RNA of Osmerus eperlanus (European smelt), 902 nucleotides long. RefSeq lists it as uncharacterized. The record is from RefSeq and is a predicted model, not a curated record. NCBI's taxonomy places the organism in Eukaryota, Metazoa, Chordata, Actinopteri, Osmeriformes, Osmeridae. The transcript has 3 exons.